Eriocheir sinensis (Chinese mitten crab) is the source of this 1084-nucleotide long non-coding RNA. RefSeq lists it as uncharacterized. The transcript has 6 exons. The record is from RefSeq and is a predicted model, not a curated record. NCBI's taxonomy places the organism in Eukaryota, Metazoa, Arthropoda, Malacostraca, Decapoda, Varunidae.
CGUGAGUCCCCCUAUAGCCUGGUGGCCUCCAACACCCUGCUGGUGGCCUGACCGUCCUGGCCCUCCCUGGCCAGCCGUCCACCACCACCUUCACCCGGCAGCCGUCCACCACCACCUUCACCCGGCAGCCGUCCACCACCACCUUCACCCGGCAGCCGCUGCAGCGGAACAAUGGGAGGAUCACAGGCUACGUGAUAUUCCUCACCACGGACCAAACUGUCAGUGACUGGGUGACGGGGGAAGUGACGGGGGACUGGCUCACCCCUACCGUCCAUGGACUGACGCCUUCAAGGAAGUAUUUGCACAAGAUGCACACUCACAGUGUCAAAGGUUUUGGUCCAUUCUCCUCCGUGGAAAGCUUCACGACUCUUCCAGCUGUUGACAAGAGCAUCGGUGAGCCCCCAGGCUGAUGUGUGGAGCGAGAGGCCUGAUUGUGCUGGUGAUCGCUGGCGUGGCAGAAGCCAUGACCAACUGGGGGCCUUCUUGGCCACCACACUGUACUGCCGCGGGUCAAGGCGGAGCCCAGGCCAAGCAUUGUUCUUGGCGGCAGCUGCAGUGAGAGCAACAAGCCUGGCGUCCAGCCUCCAGACCUGUGGAUCCAUCACAGCCACUUGGAGCUGAAGAACUUUGACAAGGGUGAGCACAGCAACUCCCCCAACCACGCCUCCAUCAUCCAGCACACAGGAGUCGCGUCACAUCACAAUGGGACCGAAAAAGGACGAGAAGGGACAAGACAAGAAGAAAAGGUCUUCUGCUGCCGCUGCUGCCUCUCCUGAUGAUGAUGAGCAACAAGAAGACACUCAAGAACAACCUGCCAAGAAAGUGAAGGGACGAUCCAAGAAGAGGUCAUCGUCUGCUACCGGGGAGACACCCCCUCCUCCAGCCCUCUUGCGUCACCAAUCCACUUGGACACAGGAGCCCCAACCUGGUCAUGAUGAUGCUGGGGCCUCAGCAUCACCAGACCUUGGGAGCAGCAGCAGCCCAGUGCCAACACCAGGCCACAAGACCCCGGGCUGCCCAGCCCACUGCCAGUGCCGGGGAUCUUCAGACCCGUCUCCAGCCUUAGGGAAUGGAGGAUAUGAGG